Molecule: ribosomal RNA, 495 nt
Filed under: uncultured bacterium
Lineage: Bacteria
Description: bacterial SSU rRNA
Rfam family: Bacterial small subunit ribosomal RNA
Source: RNAcentral
GAUGAACGCUAGCGGCAGGCUUAACACAUGCAAGUCGAGGGGUAACAGGGUAGCAAUACUGCUGACGACCGGCAAACGGGUGCGGAACACGUACGCAACAUACCCGCUACUGGGGCAUAGCCUUCUGAAAAGGAGAUUAACACCCCAUAAUAUCGAUGAGUGGCAUCACUUGACGAUUAAAAUUUAUUGGUAGCGGAUUGGCGUGCGUCCUAUUAGGUAGUUGGUGUGGGAACGGCCUACCAAGCCGACGAUAGGUAGCUGGUGUGAGAGCACGACCAGCCACACGGGAACUGAGACACGGUCCCGACUCCUACGGGAGGCAGCAGUGAGGAAUAUUGGUCAAUGGACGCAAGUCUGAACCAGCCAUGCCGCGUGAAGGAUGAAGGCGUUCUGCGUUGUAAACUUCUUUUAUCAGGGAAGAAACCUCUUUAUUCUUAGAGAGCCGACGGUACCUGAGGAAUAAGCACCGGCUAACUCCGUGCCAGCCGCCGCGGU